GCCAGACUCCUACGGGAGGCAGCAGUGGGGGAUAUUGCACAAUGGGGGAAACCCUGAUGCAGCGACGCCGCGUGAGUGAAGAAGUAAUUCGUUAUGUAAAGCUCUCUCAGCAGGGAAGAAAAUGACGGUACCUGACUAAGAAGCCCCGGCUAACUACGUGCCAGCAGCCGCGGUAAUACGUAGGGGGCAAGCGUUAUCCGGAUUUACUGGGUGUAAAGGGAGCGUAGGCGGUGCAGCAAGUCAGAAGUGAAAGCCCGGGGCUCAACGCCGGGACUGCUUUUGAAACUGUUGAACUAGAUUGCAGGAGAGGUAAGUGGAAUUCCUAGUGUAGCGGUGAAAUGCGUAGAUAUUAGGAGGAACACCAGUGGCGAAGGCGGCUUACUGGACUGUAAAUGACGCUGAGGCUCGAAAGCGUGGGGAGCAAACAGGAUUAGAUACCCGCGUAGG
Molecule: ribosomal RNA, 447 nt
Filed under: uncultured bacterium
Lineage: Bacteria
Description: bacterial SSU rRNA
Rfam family: Bacterial small subunit ribosomal RNA
Source: RNAcentral